Molecule: transfer RNA, 69 nt
Filed under: Lissoclinum patella
Lineage: Eukaryota; Metazoa; Chordata; Ascidiacea; Aplousobranchia; Didemnidae
Description: tRNA-Gly
Source: RNAcentral
UUUUGUUUAUUUUAAAAAAAAAAAUUUGUAUUUCUAACAAAAAAUACAUCUUGUGUUGUGUAACAAAAU